RNAcentral lists this transfer RNA (88 nucleotides) under Candidatus Saccharimonadota bacterium. RNAcentral describes it as "tRNA-Ser". It matches the Rfam family "tRNA". From Rfam's summary of the family: Transfer RNA (tRNA) molecules are approximately 80 nucleotides in length. Their secondary structure includes four short double-helical elements and three loops (D, anti-codon, and T loops). The record is from RNAcentral. Lineage: Bacteria; Candidatus Saccharimonadota. RNAcentral also lists the same sequence under 1 other name.
GGAGAGAUGCAGGAGUGGUUGAACUGGCCGCUCUCGAAAAGCGGUAUGGAGCAAUCCAUCGAGGGUUCGAAUCCCUCUCUCUCCGCCA